Molecule: ribosomal RNA, 3144 nt
Filed under: Allorhizocola rhizosphaerae
Lineage: Bacteria; Bacillati; Actinomycetota; Actinomycetes; Micromonosporales; Micromonosporaceae
Description: bacterial LSU rRNA
Rfam family: Bacterial large subunit ribosomal RNA
Source: RNAcentral
AGGGCAGAUGGUGGAUGCCUUGGUACCAGGGGCCGAUGAAGGACGUGGGAGGCUGCGAUAGGCCUGGGGGAGCUGCCAACCGAGCUGUGAUCCCAGGGUGUCCGAAUGGGGUAACCCGGCACGAGUCAUGUCGUGUCACCCGCACCUGAAUGCAUAGGGUGUUGGGAGGGAACGCCGGGAAGUGAAACAUCUCAGUACCGGCUGGAAGAGAAAACAAUAGUGAUUCCGUGAGUAGUGGCGAGCGAAAGCGGAUUGAUGCCUAAACUGUGUGGGCGUGAUACCUGUCAGGGGUUUCCCGCAUGGGGUCGUGAGGCUGUCCUUGGUCAAACUGACAUUUGGCCCGGAAGUGACAAAGUUUGGGGUUAGGCGAACCGGAGUGAGUGCCGGACCGUAGAGGGUGAGAGUCCUGUAGCUGAAAGUCCCAGACCUUCCGUGGAUGGUUCUCGAGUAGCCACGAACUCCUGUAAUUUGUGGUGAAUUUGCCAGGACCACCUGGUAAGGCUGAAUACUUCCUGGUGACCGAUAGCGGAUGAGUACCGUGAGGGAAUGGUGAAAAGUACCCCGGGAGGGGAGUGAAAUAGUACCUGAAACCGUCUGCCUGCAAUCCGUCAGAGCCUAGAACACUCCUUUUGGGGUUAUGGUGAUGGCGUGCCUUUUGAAGAAUGAGCCUGCGAGUUAGUGGUGUGUGGCGAGGUUAACCCGGGUGGGGUAGCCGUAGCGAAAGCGAGUCUGAAUAGGGCGUUUGAGUCGCAUGCUCUAGACCCGAAGCGGGGUGAUCUAGCCAUGGGCAGGCUGAAGCGGCUGUAAGAGGUCGUGGAGGGCCGAACCCACCAACGUUGAAAAGUUGGGGGAUGAUCUGUGGUUAGGGGUGAAAGGCCAAUCAAACUCCGUGAUAGCUGGUUCUCCCCGAAAUGCAUUUAGGUGCAGCGUUGCGUGUUUCUUGCCGGAGGUAGAGCUACUGGAUGGCCUAGGGGCCCUACCAGGUUACCGAAGUCAGCUAAACUCCGAAUGCCGGUAAGUGAGAGCGUGGCAGUGAGACUGCGGGGGAUAAGCUUCGUAGUCGAGAGGGAAACAGCCCAGAUCGCCGGCUAAGGCCCCUAAGCGUGUGCUAAGUGGGAAAGGAUGUGGGAUCGCAUAGACAACCAGGAGGUUGGCUUAGAAGCAGCCAUCCUUGAAAGAGUGCGUAAUAGCUCACUGGUCAAGUGGUUCCGCGCCGACAAUGUAGCGGGGCUCAAGCACACCGCCGAAGCCGCGGCAUUCCAGCGUGUAUCUGGCGGUAUGGGUUUCCAUGUCGUCUAGGUGUUGGGAUGGGUAGGGGAGCGUCCUGUCACCGGUGAAGCAGCAGCGUGAGCUAGCUGUGGAGGUGGUGGGAGUGAGAAUGCAGGCAUGAGUAGCGCAUGCAGGGUGAGAAACCCUGCCGCCGGAUGACCAAGGGUUCCAGAGUCAAGCUUAUCUGCUCUGGGUGAGUCGGGGCCUAAGGCGAGGCCGAGAGGCGUAGUCGAUGGAUAACGGGUUGAUAUUCCCGUACCCGCAAAGCAACGCCCACGCCGAACACCUUUCUACUAACCGCCUCCGGCGGGGGAUUCCUUUCGGGGAUGAUCUUGUUGGGGCCGGGACCUGAGGGGUUUGUAGGUGAGUGAUGGGGUGACGCAGGAAGGUAGUCGGUCCCAGGCGGUGGUUGUCCUGGGGUAAGCGUGUAGCCCGCCGUGCAGGUAAAUCCGUGCGGCUGCCCUUCGAGGGCGGGGGUGAGGCGUGAUGCCGAGCCGUAUCAGGUGAAGCCGAUGAUCCUAUGCUGCCGAGAAAAGCCUCUAGCGAUGUUGCGCGCGGCCCGUACCCGAAACCGACACAGGUGGUCAGGUAGAGAAUACCAAGGCGAUCGGGUGAACUGUGGUUAAGGAACUCGGCAAAUUGCCCCCGUAACUUAGGGAGAAGGGGGGCCACUGCUGGUGAACGCCCUUUGCGGUGGGAGCUGGUGGUGGUCGCAGAGAGCGGGGGGAAGCGACUGUUUACUAAAAACACAGGUCCAUGCCAAGUCGUAAGACGCUGUAUAUGGACUGACGCCUGCCCGGUGCUGGAACGUUAAAAGGACCCGUUAGCUGCCCUUGUGGUGGCGAGGCGGAGAAUUGAAGCGCCAGUAAACGGCGGUGGUAACUAUAACCAUCCUAAGGUAGCGAAAUUCCUUGUCGGGUAAGUUCCGACCUGCACGAAUGGCGUAACGACUUCCCCACUGUCUCAACCACAGGCCCGGCGAAAUUGCAGUACGAGUAAAGAUGCUCGUUACGCGCGGCAGGACGGAAAGACCCCGGGACCUUCACUAUAGCUUGACAUUGGUGCUUGAAUCCGAUUGUGUAGGAUAGGUGGGAGCCUGUGAAGUGGCCACGCCAGUGGUUGUGGAGGCAGCGUUGAAAUACCACUCUGUCGAAUUCGGGUAUCUAACCAUGGCCCCUGAUCGGGGUUUGGGACAGUGUCUGGUGGGUAGUUUAACUGGGGCGGUUGCCUCCUAAAAGGUAACGGAGGCGCCCAAAGGUUCCCUCAGCCUGGUUGGCAAUCAGGUGUUGAGUGUAAGUGCACAAGGGGGCUUGACUGUGAGACUGACAGGUCGAGCAGGGACGAAAGUCGGGACUAGUGACCCGGCACCGGCGUGUGGAAGCGGUGUCGCUCAACGGAUAAAAGGUACCCCGGGGAUAACAGGCUGAUCUUCCCCAAGAGUCCAUAUCGACGGGAUGGUUUGGCACCUCGAUGUCGGCUCGUCGCAUCCUGGGGCUGGAGUAGGUCCCAAGGGUUGGGCUGUUCGCCCAUUAAAGCGGUACGCGAGCUGGGUUUAGAACGUCGUGAGACAGUUCGGUCCCUAUCCGCCGCGCGCGUAGGAGUCUUGAGAAGGGCUGUCCCUAGUACGAGAGGACCGGGACGGACGAACCUCUAGUGUGCCAGUUGUUCCGCCAGGGGCAUGGCUGGUUAGCCACGUUCGGAAGGGAUAACCGCUGAAAGCAUCUAAGCGGGAAGCCUGCUUCAAGACCAGGACUCCCACCCAUGCAGUGAUGUGUGGGGUAAGGCCCCCGCCGAGAACAGCGGGUUGACAGGCCAGAAAUGUAAGCCCUGUAAGGGGUUCAGUUGACUGGUGCUGAUAGGCCGAGGACUUCAACA